Molecule: ribosomal RNA, 795 nt
Filed under: uncultured Methanogenium sp.
Lineage: Archaea; Methanobacteriati; Methanobacteriota; Methanomicrobia; Methanomicrobiales; Methanomicrobiaceae
Description: bacterial SSU rRNA
Rfam family: Archaeal small subunit ribosomal RNA
Source: RNAcentral
UUUCCGGUUGAUCCUGCCGGAGGCCACUGCUAUCGGGGUUCGAUUAAGCCAUGCGAGUCGAGAGGGUUCAGACCCUCGGCGGACUGCUCAGUAACACGUGGAUAACCUGCCCUAAGGUGGAGGAUAACCCCGGGAAACUGGGGAUAAUACUCCAUAGAUUAGAGAUACUGGAAUGUUCUUUAGUCAAAAGUUCCGGCGCCUUAGGAUGGAUCUGCGGUCGAUUAGGUUGUUGUUGGGGUAACGGCCCAACAAGCCUGUAAUCGAUACGGGUUGUGGGAGCAAUAGCCCGGAGAUGGAAUCUGAGACAAGAUUCCAGGCCCUACGGGGCGCAGCAGGCGCGAAAACUUUACAAUGCAGGAAACUGUGAUAAGGGAACCCCGAGUGCCCGUAUACGCGGGCUGUCCAGGUGUUUAAAAGUCAUCUGAAGAAAGGGCCGGGCAAGACUGGUGCCAGCCGCCGCGGUAAUACCGGCGGCUCGAGUGGUGGCCACUAUUAUUGGGCUUAAAGCGUCCGUAGCUGGACUGAUAAGUCUCUUGGGAAAUCCGCCGGCUCAACCGGCGGGCGUCUAAGGGAUACUGUUGGUCUAGGGACCGGGAGAGGUGAGAGGUACUCCGGGGGUAGGAGUGAAAUCCUGUAAUCCCCGGGGGACCACCGAUGGCGAAGGCAUCUCACCAGAACGGCUCCGACAGUGAGGGACGAAAGCUGGGGGAGCAAACCGGAUUAGAUACCCGGGUAGUCCCAGCCGUAAACUAUGCGCGUUAGGUGUGCUGGUGACCACGUGUCACCGGGGGUGCC